Molecule: ribosomal RNA, 88 nt
Filed under: uncultured bacterium
Lineage: Bacteria
Description: partial 16S ribosomal RNA
Rfam family: Bacterial small subunit ribosomal RNA
Source: RNAcentral
GAGAGUUUGAUCCUGGCUCAGAACGAACGCUGGCGGCAUGCCUAACACAUGCAAGUCGAACGAAGCCUUCGGGCUUAGUGGCGCACGG